Molecule: non-coding RNA, 79 nt
Organism: Ictidomys tridecemlineatus (thirteen-lined ground squirrel)
Lineage: Eukaryota; Metazoa; Chordata; Mammalia; Rodentia; Sciuridae
Source: Rfam
AUGGUCAUAUGAUGAAUAGAAUCAAAUCGCCAUCUGUCAGAUGAGUUCAUGAUGGAUGUGCUUUUCUCUUAUGAGGAUC